Molecule: ribosomal RNA, 407 nt
Filed under: uncultured bacterium
Lineage: Bacteria
Description: partial 16S ribosomal RNA
Rfam family: Bacterial small subunit ribosomal RNA
Source: RNAcentral
GACGAACGCUGGCGGCGUGCCUAAUACAUGCAAGUAGGACGCAGUUGCGAACGGGUGAGUAACGCGUAGGUAACUACCUAUUAGAGGGGGAUAACUAUUGGAAACGAUAGCUAAUACCGCAUACUAGUAGAUGGACCUGCGUUGUAUUAGCUAGUAGGUAGGGUAAUGGCCUAACUAGUCAACGAUACAUAGCCGACCUGGAGAGGGGGACGGCCAAACUGGGAAUGGGGAAACGGCCAGACUCCCACGGGAGGCAGCAGGAGGGAAACUUCGGCCAAUGGGGGAACGCUGACCGAGCAACGCCGGGUUAGUGAAGGAGGGUUUCGGAUCGUAAAGCUCUGUUGAGAAGGAAGCGGUACUUAACCAGAAAGGGACGGCUAACUACGUGCCAGCAGCCGCGAUAAUUC